Molecule: long non-coding RNA, 3755 nt
Filed under: Homo sapiens (human)
Lineage: Eukaryota; Metazoa; Chordata; Mammalia; Primates; Hominidae
Description: non-protein coding lnc-PEX11G-3:1
Source: RNAcentral
AGAGGUAUCCACGAGGGAGGAGGUGGAUUGUGACACCUGGGAGAAUGAAGGCGGAGAUGGGUGAAUUGCUAAUUCAGACCUUGGAGAAGAGGCAGACGGAUCCAGGGGGUCUCCAUCAAGGAAGGAGCGGUGGCGGACACUAAGAAGUGUAAAUAGGGAAGGGGCGCGGCCUCUGUGUGGUCAGGGCGGACCCCAGGGGUCCCGGACUCACCUUCCGCAUAAUCUUCCGGCCAUAGAAGAGCACUUUGUCCCUCUUCCGGAACCGAUACCGGGGGCCAUCCGGGGCUGGGGUUUCUGGGGAUAGGUGGGGACAGGGGCACUCCGAGCUCUGUGCAGACUCCACCCUGCCAGAGCUGGGGUACCGCGAACAGACGCCAGCAAAUCCCCAUCUCUGCCGCCUCGGGACCCGGGCAUUUGGGCCCCCCACCAUACAGCCUCCCAAGAGGGGCCCCUCGGGUGCUCACUUGGCACUCGCAGCCUCCGCACCACCAGGAGGAUGAGCACGGCCGUGACCACCACCGCCACUCCGGCCCCGAUCAUCACGCCAAGCACCUGAGGGACGAACGGCACUGGCUGCGCACCGCAAAUCCGUCCCGCCGAGCCUUCCCCGGGCGCCAGGACGUCCUGGAACCCAUCCCUCUCCGCCACCUUCGCCCCCGAGGAGUUCGUAGCCAGCCCGUGACUCGAUGUCCCCAUCUGCAGAAUGGGCCAGUGCUGCUCCCUCCCCGGGGGCGCGACUCUUCCCUGAGGCCCGGCGGCCCGCAGUGCAUGCCGGGAAACGUAGUUCCGCCCGAGCGGACGCAGCGCGUUAUCGCCAGACCACGUAAUGCGCGCUGAGCACGCCGGGAGUUGUAGUCCUCUUGGCGCCCCACGCCGGCACCUACCCGGUCUCCGCCCCACCCCUUACCAUUCCAGUUUGCAGCGGAGCCUCCAUCGGUUGAUUCCAGCUGGACGGCCGAUCUGGUAGCCCGGAGUCCUGGGAAAUCAAGGAGUCGAAGGAACCCGUGCAAGUCGUCAAUCUGGGCCCACCUCUCCCCUGCCUCAAGCCCUGCCCCCAGCUCAAGCCCUGCCCUCUGGGGUGGCGGGGGAAGCGUCUCCAGCUGCCAGGGGCGAGGCUAGAGGGGCGCUGCGGGACUAAGGGAUGGAGCAAACCGACCUCUCGGCCCUGGCCAGGAGAUGAGGCGGGUCCCCGGCUUCCUGCUCCCUUCGCCUACGCGUAGGGCCUACCAGACGCCCGCCUGUCCAACCCCACCCCGGGGCCAAAGGCCGACCUGGUACCCACUGUCAGCAGCCUGCAGGCAGGUCCCCACAGGGCACGGUCCUCUGCACCUGGUGACUUCCUCCCGGGUCACUGCCCUCUGCAGGGUUGAUCAAGCCUGACCACCCCACCCCCCAGGCCGCACCCCCUACUCCGUCGAAGACUGAAUGCCCCACCCCAGGAAAACGGGCCCGCAAACCGUGGGGUCCGGGAGUGGGCACCUAGAUACUCGGCUCCCGACGCAAGCCUGCCCCGGGGAAGACCCAGGAGCUGGGAGGCACGGGAGUACUGCCGGGGCAUCCGCGGAAGGCGUCUGAUACCCACGUUUCAGAAGAGUCCUGGGAUGCUUGGGGUGGCGUGGGCUUGCAAGGCGCUGCUGGUUUUUGCCGGGGAUUUACUAUCACGUAGUAGUGAAGUUAUGGGGGCUCUAUGGCACAGAGCAUCACUGGGACUCCGGGACCGAUGGUGGCGCCAUUGCUGGGAGGCGUAACCAGAGACGCUGGGAUUAGUGGGUGGGGAUGCGGGGUCACUGGAAAGUUACUGAGAUUCUGAGGAUUACAAUACUACUGCUGGGAAAACCAGGAGGUGGGUGGGCACAUUCCUGGGGUGCUUAUGAGAGCGGGCCUGGGGAGGGCGUCCGGGCUCCUUGGAAGAUACUGAGAGAUGCUGGAAUAUUACUGGGAUUUUUCUGGGAAGCUGAGGAUGUUUCUGACAUCGCUAGAAUAUUAAUGGAAAUUCGGGGGCCGGGAGAUAGGAAUCCCGGAGACUCCGAGUCGUUACUUGGAAAAUUCCUGGGUGGCCGGUCCUCUUCCACCUCAGGGCACAGCUGGCUACCGGUGUGGAAACACCUGCCGAGACGUGGGGGGUAUGGGAACAUCAGAAAGUCUAGAGUUAACAGGAAUCGGAGGACAGAUCGUGGGAAAGCGGAGGCUCGCUAACGACCCUCGAAGGGACACCCCUGCGAGGCUAACGGAAACCCAGACUCACCCAGGGGCCGCAGCCGGGGUCCACUCCGCGCCAACACCGCUAGCGUUCCGCCCGGCUCCGCAGGCACGGCCCCUUUAAAUUAUUCACUCCUAGUCGCACCGCAGUCCCUCCCGACCCUCCCACCCCUCCUCCCCGCGCCAUGCUUGGAAGGCCGACUGAGGCCGCCAUGCUGAGUGUGGCCGCGCCUUAAAGGGCCUCACACCGCUUAACGCAAGGACUGCUCCUCCCGCUAAAAAUGAAAACGACACAUUUAUUUUCCCUUUUAUUCAACACCCUCCCCACCCAGUCUCCCCGCCCCCAAGGGUCCGACACGAAAGGUCCAGGCCCUCCUCGGGCGCGACAGGGAGCCGAUCCUUAAAAGCAAACCCUACAAAUAAAUAAGCGGGGUCGGGGGCGGGGGUCUCUGCAGUCCAGGGCCUACGGUCCAACGGCAGUCAGGUCGAAUCAAUUCACCAGCAGCGAAUGCUCCUCCGAGGGGUCCCUGGAGGAAGGAAGCAGGGAAGAGGGGCGUCAGUUUUCUCUGGCUCGCUCCCCUUUCCCCAUUCCCUAACCUCCAAUCUGAAUGUGCCAGACCCGGGACUCGAACCUUCCGCAGCAGCAGAGAAGGCUGCAGGCCGAGCCGCUCCCGCGGCGGAACUUGCCGGAGGUGGGGCUGUCCUGGCACUGUGCGAUGUAGGCCUGCAGCUCGCUCUCCUCUGCGCCUGCGCCGCCGGGAUGCUGGGGAGAGAAGCCGGGAGGCUCAGCCUGAAAGUGGCUCCCAACCUCCAAGGCCCUUGAAGUCCGCCCUCCCCUCCAGCCAUAUCUGCAUCGCUUCCCACCUCCGGGCCUUUGCACUUGCUGGGCCUGCUCCACCCGUUGUUCCACAGUUUGCUUGCACAGAGGGACCUUCCCUGACCCCUGAACCUGGAUACAAGCUGUGUCUUUGCCAGUCUGUGUCUUUGCCUUCUGCUGUAGGUCCAGCACCUACAGACCUAGAGCCAGGGCUGACAUGACCUCGAUGCUCAGAAACCAUCUAUUGAGUGAGCUGGAUGCACGCUGAGCACAGCAGUGGGAGCAGGGCCUGAGACUGCCCACCUGAGUGGAUGCAUGUGUGUGAUGUCUACGUGCUAAGGCAAGACAGGAAGUAGUUCCAAGGGCCUGAGUCAAUGUGUCUGUGGGACAGCUGAAUCCAUGCAUGGGGAAAAGGGGGUGUACCCAUCUGCCGGUGACAUUGGAUGUGGCAGGGUCCCAGCCAAGGCUUCCUUCCUCUCACUCGGCCUCAUGGAGGGGCCAUCUUUUCUCCAAGUUUUUUCAGGCUACUAGACCUUUGCUUUAGCUAUUCCUUCCCCUCGGUGCACUGCCCCUGGGCUCCCAUCUCUUCAGUCUAGAGGCGAUGGAAGUAUUCAAUAUCUAUGCUGUCCAAUAUGGCAGCCACCAGCCACACUGGCUUUUGAGCACUGGAUACAGGAUGGUGCAAGUCAGAGGCUAAAUUUGCAAUUGUACUUCAUUUGAAUUAAAAUUUUUAAAAAAU